Molecule: long non-coding RNA, 856 nt
Organism: Brassica napus (rape)
Lineage: Eukaryota; Viridiplantae; Streptophyta; Magnoliopsida; Brassicales; Brassicaceae
Exons: 2
Source: RefSeq, a predicted model, not a curated record
UCCUGGCCCCACCGAAAUGGUCCAGACUAGAGACCGAAGUGAGUAUGGACGCUGCCAGGGCGUCACCAUGUGGCUCACCGUGUAACGGUCUUCGGUCUCGGGUGCUGCAGCCCACAUGUAAAUUCCGCAGUGGCCAAGGCUCGAACCCAGGAACGGACACUCCAGCUGGAGCUCCUAUACCACUAGACCAAAGCAACUUGGUUCUCUGGUUCUAUUUACACCACAACUAUCUUUGUUAUAAUUGUUUUGGCAAUUUACUAUAAGGACCACAUUAUUUUUGACAUGCUUUAAGCCUCAAAAAUGUUUGGGACGGCACUAUAAGCCUCCCACCACAUGUACACCCAUAUUUAUAUUUACAUGUAUAUUCUCCUCCAUUUUCAUCAUCUCUAAUAUCUCCAAGUCACACUUCCAAGAGAAGUCAGGUUCUGGUGAGGAUGAGAUUUGGGAAGAUUGUAGAAGGCUUGAAGUCCAAGAUAAAGGCAAGUCUAAGGAUGAGGAAGAGAUCCUCAUUAUCAUCAUCAUCAUCAUCAUCGUCAUCAUCGUCAUCAUCGUAUGAGAAGAUAGAGAAGACUGACAGUAUGAGAUUUGAGUUAAGAAGCAGAAAGGCGCACAAAAUUAUCCAACAAACUCUUCGGAUUGCCGACUCUCCAACCUCAAGAACUUAUGCUUUAUGAUUUCAUCGUUUUACCAUCCAAAACAUAUUCAUACAUACAUAUAGACUUGCGUGUACGCAUCUGUUUAUACAUAUCCAUCUAAAUUAUUGUACGUGUGUGUAUGUAUGUGUGAAAGGUUAUAUGGAUGAUGUCAUGGGUGAUGGAUAUAUAUUAUCUUGGCUAAUGGAUGAUGAUUAGGUGAA